RNAcentral lists this long non-coding RNA (223 nucleotides) under Nicotiana benthamiana. RNAcentral describes it as "long non-coding RNA (NBEN_LNC012600)". Lineage: Eukaryota; Viridiplantae; Streptophyta; Magnoliopsida; Solanales; Solanaceae. The record is from RNAcentral.
CACACUGAUUUCAAUCUGCUAAAGAGAUUGCCUUGCAACUAUUGGUUCUCCAUAACAGCAAUCCUGCAGUCCAGAAUCUUUCUAACAACCCAAGAGGCAUUUUUUGGCAGAGGCAUAGAACUAACAUCAUACUGUUUUAUGUAGUAGCAUUGCAGCCAUUUGAUCCAAAGACAAUCCUUCUUCCUGGCCAGAUCCCAAAGGAGUUUGGUAAUAGCUACCUNNN